Molecule: ribosomal RNA, 109 nt
Filed under: Clostridium sp. AM49-4BH
Lineage: Bacteria; Bacillati; Bacillota; Clostridia; Eubacteriales; Clostridiaceae
Description: partial 23S ribosomal RNA
Rfam family: Bacterial large subunit ribosomal RNA
Source: RNAcentral
GAGUUAAUCCAGUAAGACCCCUUGAAGACGACGAGGUAGAUAGGGCAGAGGUGGAAGUGUGGUAACACAUGGAGCUGACUGUCACUAAUAGGUCGAGGGCUUGACCAAA